Molecule: long non-coding RNA, 1199 nt
Organism: Solanum tuberosum (potato)
Lineage: Eukaryota; Viridiplantae; Streptophyta; Magnoliopsida; Solanales; Solanaceae
Exons: 3
Source: RefSeq, a predicted model, not a curated record
AUUUUGGUGUGUAAUGAUGGAAACGGGUGCCUGAUCCAUAUGAACAAAAGAUCUCGGGUGAUUUUGAUCGAAGACUCUUUCCUUUGAGCAAACUUUAAUUUGUGGCCUCUCUCUGGGUCUGUACAGCAUUUCUGCAUAUGAUUUUCAUAUUCAUCUUGUUUACACAUACGACACACACCAGUUGGUGUUUGAAGAAGUGACUGUUUGGAAAAUUCAAACUUUAUUUGGAUUGUUGAGUAGUAGACAAAAAAUUAAUGUACUAGCAGUAUUAAAGAAUUUAAGGUGUGAUAGACUCAUUGGGCUUUUAUGAAUUGAGUUUAAUCUAAUCUUCAUGCUUUAAUCUAUCAUUUGAGAGUGGAGAAUUAGAUUAAUAAACAUAUUUCGACUUUGAUUCCUAAGUUUGAGAUCGGAAGGAGACGAUUUAGGCUAACUUUGUUAAAUGUUGAACUUGCUAGAAAUAGGGGUUUAGAUUAAGGUAUUGGGUUGCUUUGUUGUUGAACACGAUUGCAAUCGAAAGAAAAUUUCGUGAGAAAACACUGAUCGCUAGGAGAUUAUUGUUGAUUGAUGAUGACCUAGCCUACCUUUGAUUGAUUUGCAUGUGUUGAGAUGACAAUGGAUCGUUGAAUGAGAGUUGGGUUUUGAGUUUUCCAAUUUCCAAUUAUCCCUUGCUUGAUUUGUUCUUUGCCCAAACCCUUUGUUUAGUUACCAAAAUUGCUCUUAAUUUGAUAAUCUUGUAUAUUGUGUGUUUAGGUUCAAACCCAUUUGUCUUUUUGAUUGCCGACAAAUUAUUUUUUAUGGGAUUCGAUUCUGACUCUUUUGUUGGGUGUUUAUUGCUAAUGACAACUUAUUCUCUUACUUGUUUCGAAGGUAAAUUAAGUGUUAUCAAUAAUGAUGAGAGCUAGAAACAUAAGGAGGGAAAGGCUGCAGCUAGUAAAGAUGAAAGACUAUUAUCAUAUCAAUGACAAGAGCUUCCUUAAAACCUCCAACUUUAGUUUCAUUUGUUCGUUUCAUUCUCAUCAGAUUUUCGAGAAAGAAGAUAUAAGAAUUACUUUUGACAUCUUAUCGGUUCUCUUCUCUAAUGUUUCAAGAAGAAGCUUAAAGAAUAGUCAUUAAGAGAGGCAAUCUUCUUUUGAUUGUGCGAAAAACACAUGACAUUUAUUUUAAAGACCUCAUUUGUUUGGAGGUUUUAAUCUUAAUCA